GGAUGUGAGGGCAAUCUGGCUGCGACAUCUGUCACCCCAUUGAUCGCCAGGGUUGAUUUGGCUGAUCUGGCUGGCUAGGCGGGUGUCCCUUUCCUCCCUCACCGCUCCAUGUGCGUCCCUCCCGAAGCUGCGCGCUCGGUCGAAGAGGACGACCAUCCCCUCUAGAGGAGGGCCGGUCUUCGGUCAAGGGUAUAAGAGUAGCUGCGCUCCCCUGCUAGAACCUCCAAACAAGCUCUCAAGGAAAAGUAGAGAGAGAGAACUAUCUUCCCAUCUUUUGGUUCAUUCCUCAGAUGCUCGCAAGAG
Molecule: small nuclear RNA, 303 nt
Filed under: Ochotona princeps (American pika)
Lineage: Eukaryota; Metazoa; Chordata; Mammalia; Lagomorpha; Ochotonidae
Description: 7SK RNA (ENSOPRG00000019508.1)
Rfam family: 7SK RNA
About the family: 7SK was discovered as an abundant small nuclear RNA in the mid-70s but a possible function has only recently been suggested.
Source: RNAcentral